Molecule: non-coding RNA, 142 nt
Filed under: Enterococcus hermanniensis
Lineage: Bacteria; Bacillati; Bacillota; Bacilli; Lactobacillales; Enterococcaceae
Description: GlcN6P sequence
Rfam family: glmS glucosamine-6-phosphate activated ribozyme aptamer
About the family: This entry contains a glucosamine-6-phosphate activated ribozyme that is found in the mRNA for GlmS. GlmS is an enzyme that uses fructose-6-phosphate and glutamine to generate glucosamine-6-phosphate.
Source: Rfam by way of RNAcentral
ACCAAUAAGAUAGCGCCAGGCCUUAUAUAGGUGACGAGGAUGAAGUUUAUCGAAAGAUUCGGCGGAUGACUUCAGGGUCGCUGUGCUCUAAAGAUUAUUUUAAAAACUUGAUAAAAGAACAAAAAAAUAAUCAGACAGCUCG